RNAcentral lists this ribosomal RNA (378 nucleotides) under uncultured bacterium. Its description in RNAcentral is "bacterial SSU rRNA". It matches the Rfam family "Bacterial small subunit ribosomal RNA", at positions 30 to 412 of the family's 1533-position model. The record is from RNAcentral.
AUUGAACGCUGGCGGUAGGCCUAACACAUGCAAGUCGAACGCGAAAGUCCUUCGGAUGAGUAGAGUGGCGGACGGGUGAGUAACGCGUAGGAAUCUGUCCUGUAGUGGGGGAGUAACGUUUCGAAAGGAACGCUAAUACCGCAUACGCCCUACGGGGAAAGCGGGGAGUCUUCGGACCUCGCGCUAGAGGAGGAGCCUGCGUCGGAUUAGCUAGUUGGUGAGGUAAAGGCUCACCAAGGCGACGAUCCGUAGCUGGUCUGAGAGGAUGAUCAGCCACACCGGAACUGAGACACGGUCCGGACUCCUACGGGAGGCAGCAGUGGGGAAUAUUGCGCAAUGGGCGAAAGCCUGACGCAGCCAUACCGCGUGUGUGAAGAA